GAUGAACGCUGGCGGCGUGCCUAAUACAUGCAAGUCGAGCGAACAGAUAAGGAGCUUGCUCCUUUGACGUUAGCGGCGGACGGGUGAGUAACACGUGGGUAACCUACCUAUAAGACUGGGAUAACUUCGGGAAACCGGAGCUAAUACCGGAUAACAUUUGAAACCGCAUGGUUCUAAAGUGAAAGAUGGUUUUGCUAUCACUUAUAGAUGGACCCGCGCCGUAUUAGCUAGUUGGUAAGGUAACGGCUUACCAAGGCAACGAUACGUAGCCGACCUGAGAGGGUGAUCGGCCACACUGGAACUGAGACACGGUCCAGACUCCUACGGGAGGCAGCAGUAGGGAAUCUUCCGCAAUGGGCGAAAGCCUGACGGAGCAACGCCGCGUGAGUGAUGAAGGGUUUCGGCUCGUAAAACUCUGUUAUUAGGGAAGAACAAAUGUGUAAGUAACUGUGCACGUCUUGACGGUACCUAAUCAGAAAGCCACGGCUAACUACGUG
RNAcentral lists this ribosomal RNA (497 nucleotides) under uncultured bacterium. Its description in RNAcentral is "partial 16S ribosomal RNA". It matches the Rfam family "Bacterial small subunit ribosomal RNA", at positions 28 to 507 of the family's 1533-position model. The record is from RNAcentral.